Long non-coding RNA from Junco hyemalis (dark-eyed junco), 1248 nucleotides. The record is from Ensembl. NCBI's taxonomy places the organism in Eukaryota, Metazoa, Chordata, Aves, Passeriformes, Passerellidae.
UGCAUAGCAUUGCCUGGGAUUCCCUGACACAGAAAGCAGCUCCAUGUAAGAGCACAGGCUCUACAUGAUCCAUGGAAAACAGUCCCACUUGCUGACAGGAGAGUGAAAGUAAGCUAGAUGCUGCAUUGACUUAUGCAAAAAACUAAAACAUGGGACAAAAGGACAGAAAGCGACCUGGAAACACAGUCUGUCUAACGCUGAGGCAACCUUGGCAGUGAAAAGGCUGCACAUCAUUGGUGAGGGAUGAAAGACAAACUGGACUGGAACCCUGAAUGGAACCUUGGACUCUUGGAACCGUGCAUUAUUGGAUAUCAAAAGUGCAAUGCUGGCGCCUUGAUCUACAGGAACAGAAACAAGACUUGCCUGGCACAUUAACUCUCAAAAAAAAAAAACUAUCUCAACUGAUCAACACCCUGGAAUUCACCAGGAGCUUCCUGGAAAGGAGAAUUUUAAGAACAAGAACAGAAAAAAGCCCGGUAAAAGCUGUAACUGGCUCUGCCUGUCUGUGCUAUGACAGCCAACAAUAUCACCUGCUGAUGAUUUACAGAUUCCUGGGAGAUGUGUUGUUGAGUCUCAAAGAACUGGAACAAGAACAACUCGCUCAAAUUGCUUCCCGUGAAACAGCAUAACGUAUCCACCCGCUUCAUACUCUCCUAAUUUAGGACACGUGUAGUCUGUAAUGAUGAACUGGCCAACUGAUUAUGUUGCUGUAAAUCUCGUUCCCCACCUUACAAAACACCCCUGACUGACCCCUUUUUCAUGAUAGCUCAGUGCAGCAUUUCCUGUCCACUUCUUGAGAGGGAGAAAAUCAGCACCAGCCACUUGCAAAAGCACUUCUCAAGAGUGAAAAAUGCAACAUUUUGUUGUUUUUGUUUCACUGGGCAGCCUUUUCAAGUUCUGUGACCCACUUUUGCUUCCCUUUAAAUUGUGACCAGUAUUUAUUUAUCCCUCUUUGAACACAAUAACUUAAUUAAGAAACUAAUCAGCAGUGUUGAACUGAUCUUUCAACUCAGCCCUGUCACUGAAGGAAAUUUAUGAAUGCAUAAUACAAGAAAGAUCCUAUUAUCUAAAAAGCUUUCUACUAAAAGCAUUUGGCAUCUAAAAAGUAAGACUUGAAAUUCUGUGCUAAAUUUAUAAUGUAAAUAUGUGAACAUUAUUUAUAGAGUCUGAAAUGCACCCCAAGUGAAUCUAACAAUUUUUUUCUAGAUUUUUUAUUAAAAAUAAAAUUGUCACAAGUUUAAAGGAUUG